AGUGUAGAGGGUGGUGAAGAUGCUGUACCCCCUCAAGUAUCUCACCCUUCUCUGCCUGU
Molecule: microRNA precursor, 59 nt
Filed under: Monodelphis domestica (gray short-tailed opossum)
Lineage: Eukaryota; Metazoa; Chordata; Mammalia; Didelphimorphia; Didelphidae
Description: microRNA mdo-mir-7398g precursor
Source: miRBase by way of RNAcentral